GGGGUUGUGGCUCAGUGGUAGAGCGCUUGCCUAGCACUCGUGAGGCCCUGGGUUCAAUCCUAGCACCA
This 68-nucleotide transfer RNA is filed under the name Urocitellus parryii (Arctic ground squirrel). Its description in RNAcentral is "Spermophilus parryii (Arctic ground squirrel) tRNA". It matches the Rfam family "tRNA". Rfam says of the family: Transfer RNA (tRNA) molecules are approximately 80 nucleotides in length. Lineage: Eukaryota; Metazoa; Chordata; Mammalia; Rodentia; Sciuridae. The record is from Rfam by way of RNAcentral. RNAcentral also lists the same sequence under 1 other name.